Long non-coding RNA from Tupaia belangeri chinensis (Chinese tree shrew), 1016 nucleotides. RefSeq lists it as uncharacterized. The transcript has 3 exons. NCBI's taxonomy places the organism in Eukaryota, Metazoa, Chordata, Mammalia, Scandentia, Tupaiidae. The record is from RefSeq and is a predicted model, not a curated record.
AAAGAGAGAGACACAUGCUGGACACAAGCAUGUUCUGUGGCAAUUAAAAAAAAAAAAAAGACGAGUUGGGCUGAAGACCAGAGGAGCGAUCACCUGUAACACUGUCUAAACUUAGAGGAAGGAGCUCAGACAGAUACAAGGAAGCUGAGAAGGCUUCAUGGAGUCAGCGACUCAGGUUGGACCUUGAAGACACAAUGUGAGACUUGAAAAGAGGCCUUGUGGAAGUGGACAUUCUCAGUGGGGAUAUUUACUUAAGCUUAAAAUAUGUACUGAUGGAAAGGAAAACCUGACAUAAACAGCAGAAAGGUGGGCCUCGGGUCCAUGCGGAGGAAAGACCGAAGCUCAGGGAGCAGUUACAGGUCACAGAGGAUGCUGCUAGGAGACGGUCACAAUUGCUGAAGCCAGUAGAGAUUUUCUCCUAAUGUUUAGCUCUCCUUCGCAUAUGAAAUUCUUUGCAUUUCAUGGUGUGAGGAAUGGACCCACGCCAAUCCUCUUCCCCGUAAUGAUGCUUACUGAAUCAUGAUUUCUAGUUGUGUGACUUGGGCAAAUGGUUUAACCUCUCUGAGAACAGCUUUCAGUGUCUGGAAGAACAGGACUGAUAAUGACACCUCCCAGACAGCCUUGUCCUGAGGACGGGAAGAGGCGACACAUGAAGAGCCCCUAGUCCGUUGCAUGCCCGGCAGGUACGUGUCUAAGAAAUAAUUUUUUCCUUCUUAUCUCUUUCCUUUUUAUCUGCAUCAACCUAUUUUUUUUUUACCUAGAACUCUUUUAUGUACCAUUGAAACCAAGCUUUACUGGAAUGUUCCAGAGGUUGUCUAUCCCAGUUUUAUAUUAGGAAGCUAUUAAGCUGCAAAGUCAAAAGAGGAGAAGAGCGGGGAGGCACUCUCCUUGAAAGGACCCGGCCUCAGGGCACAUGUGCUCCUUGCUUGCACGCUUGCAGGUGAUUCUGCUGUGACUGCAGCCCCCUGAGUUCUCUCAGGUCAGAGAAUGUUCUCAGAGGCUCUUCUAAAUUCUCC